Molecule: small RNA, 157 nt
Filed under: Chrysemys picta bellii (western painted turtle)
Lineage: Eukaryota; Metazoa; Chordata; Testudines; Emydidae
Description: TUC338 (ENSCPBG00000014318.1)
Source: RNAcentral
AUGGUAACCCUAGGCAUAGUAAAAGUAAGAGUAAAGCAAAGCAUGAGAAGCACAAGUGAAAGCUUUCCCCACAAUACCCUUCCACUGUGCCUCAACCCUGACCAGAGGGAUCCCCUGAAGGGCUGAGGAUGUACUCAUUUUCCAUAGCCAGGCAACA